GGGGGUAUAGCUAAGUUGUAAAGCACAAACUUAGUAUGUGGGAGACCCUGGGUUCAAGCCCCAGCAUUUCUC
Molecule: transfer RNA, 72 nt
Filed under: Cavia porcellus (domestic guinea pig)
Lineage: Eukaryota; Metazoa; Chordata; Mammalia; Rodentia; Caviidae
Rfam family: tRNA
About the family: Transfer RNA (tRNA) molecules are approximately 80 nucleotides in length. Their secondary structure includes four short double-helical elements and three loops (D, anti-codon, and T loops). Further hydrogen bonds mediate the characteristic L-shaped molecular structure. tRNAs have two regions of fundamental functional importance: the anti-codon, which is responsible for specific mRNA codon recognition, and the 3' end, to which the tRNAs corresponding amino acid is attached (by aminoacyl-tRNA synthetases). tRNAs cope with the degeneracy of the genetic code in two manners: having more than one tRNA (with a specific anti-codon) for a particular amino acid; and 'wobble' base-pairing, i.e. permitting non-standard base-pairing at the 3rd anti-codon position.
Source: Rfam by way of RNAcentral